GACGAACGCUGGCGGCGUGCCUAAUACAUGCAAGUCGAGCGGACGGAUGGGAGCUUGCUCCCAGACCGUCAGCGGCGGACGGGUGAGUAACACGUGGGCAACCUGCCUGUAAGACUGGGAUAACUCCGGGAAACCGGGGCUAAUACCGGAUAACUCUUUCCCUCACAUGAGGGAAAGCUGAAAGAUGGCAUCUCGCUAUCACUUACAGAUGGGCCCGCGGCGCAUUAGCUAGUUGGUGAGGUAACGGCUCACCAAGGCGACGAUGCGUAGCCGACCUGAGAGGGUGAUCGGCCACACUGGGACUGAGACACGGCCCAGACUCCUACGGGAGGCAGCAGUAGGGAAUCUUCCGCAAUGGACGAAAGUCUGACGGAGCAACGCCGCGUGAGUGAUGAGGGUUUUCGGAUCGUAAAACUCUGUUGUCAGGGAAGAACAAGUACCGGAGUAACUGCCGGUACCUUGACGGUACCUGACCAGAAAGCCACGGCUAACUACGUG
This 498-nucleotide ribosomal RNA is filed under the name uncultured bacterium. RNAcentral describes it as "partial 16S ribosomal RNA". It matches the Rfam family "Bacterial small subunit ribosomal RNA", at positions 28 to 507 of the family's 1533-position model. The record is from RNAcentral.